UCAGAUCCAUCUGUGCAAGCCCACAAC
This 27-nucleotide non-coding RNA is filed under the name Macaca fascicularis (crab-eating macaque). RNAcentral also lists the same sequence under 1 other name. The record is from RNAcentral. Lineage: Eukaryota; Metazoa; Chordata; Mammalia; Primates; Cercopithecidae.